RNAcentral lists this ribosomal RNA (426 nucleotides) under uncultured bacterium. RNAcentral's name for it is "bacterial SSU rRNA". It matches the Rfam family "Bacterial small subunit ribosomal RNA", at positions 355 to 774 of the family's 1533-position model. The record is from RNAcentral.
UGGGGAAUAUUGGACAAUGGGCGCAAGCCUGAUCCAGCCACGCCGCGUGAGUGAUGAAGGCCUUCGGGUCGUAAAGCUCUGUGGGGAGGGACGAACCGCUGCACGUUCAUAGCGUGCAGCAUGACGGUACCUCCUUAGCAAGCACCGGCUAACUUCGUGCCAGCAGCCACGAUAAUACAAAAAAUACAAACAUUACUCAGAAUUAUUAAACAUAAAGCGCACAUAGGCGGCUUGACAAGUCAGAUGUGAAAUCCCUCGGCUCAACCAAGGAAGUGCAUCCGAAACUGUCGAGCUUGGGUAAGAAGGAGGAUCGAGGAAUUCCCGGUGUAGAGGUGAAAUUCGUAGAUAUCGGGAGGAACACCAAUAACGAAGGCGACGAUCUGGGUAGAUACUGACGCUGAGGUGCGAAAGCGUGGGGAGCAAACA